GGUUAAAAAAAAAUCAUUAUCAAAUAACUACAGCUUGAAAAAGUUGGCGGGCGGGACGGAAAACGCGGCCUGGAUUUGCCAGCCCGCCGCCGCUCACAGGCGCGCCGCGGUAGCCAAAAAUGGAAGGAAACACAUCUGUAACGCAUUUGUGUGAUGUUCACCUUUGAGACCGCGCGGCUGGAUGGAGGCGCCUUCGUGGAACAAGGCUGGACACAAGCUGGUUGGUGCAUUGGGCAGACCUGAAAUCUGUGACACCACACGGUGUGGAUUCCAGCUCCAAAAUACAAGCCCCAUCCAGCUACUCUACCCACCAUCUCCACGACCACCGCUCCCAUCUCAGCUACCAUCACCCACUGUCUGGACACCUGCGGUGAUCACACCGACUCCAGCUCCCAUAUGUUCUCCGCGCAGCGGCCAGAGUGAUUUGAAAAAUGUCAAUCAGAUCACGUUUCUCCCCCUGAGGACUUUGUAAUGGCUUUCAUUUAGACUUAGGAUAAAACUCCAAAUUCCAUGUUACAGCCUACAAGGCUUCUGUGAUGAAUUUAUUUGUGUUGUUUGUGUC
Manis javanica (Malayan pangolin) is the source of this 562-nucleotide non-coding RNA. NCBI's taxonomy places the organism in Eukaryota, Metazoa, Chordata, Mammalia, Pholidota, Manidae. The record is from RefSeq and is a predicted model, not a curated record.